GUAGUCGUGGCCGAGUGGUUAAGGCGUUGGACUAGAAAUCCAUUGGACUUUGCCCGCGCAGGUUCGAAUCCUGCCGACUACG
Molecule: transfer RNA, 82 nt
Filed under: Saccoglossus kowalevskii
Lineage: Eukaryota; Metazoa; Hemichordata; Enteropneusta; Harrimaniidae
Description: tRNA-Ser
Rfam family: tRNA
About the family: Transfer RNA (tRNA) molecules are approximately 80 nucleotides in length. Their secondary structure includes four short double-helical elements and three loops (D, anti-codon, and T loops).
Source: RNAcentral